GUGACCUCAAAUCAGGUAGGACUACCCGCUGAACUUAAGCAUAUCAAUAAGCGGAGGAAAAGAAACUAACAAGGAUUCCCCUAGUAACUGCGAGUGAAGCGGGAAAAGCUCAAAUUUAAAAUCUGGCGGUCUUUUGGCUGUCCGAGUUGUAAUCUAGAGAAGUGUUAUCCGCGCUGGACCGUGUACAAGUCUCCUGGAAUGGAGCAUCAUAGAGGGUGAGAAUCCCGUCUUUGACAUGGACUGCCAGGGCUUUUGUGAUGCGCUCUCA
RNAcentral lists this ribosomal RNA (268 nucleotides) under uncultured Cortinarius. RNAcentral's name for it is "partial 28S ribosomal RNA". It matches the Rfam family "Eukaryotic large subunit ribosomal RNA", at positions 1 to 259 of the family's 3401-position model. The record is from RNAcentral. Lineage: Eukaryota; Fungi; Basidiomycota; Agaricomycetes; Agaricales; Cortinariaceae.